UACGGAGGAUCCAAGCGUUAUCCGGAUUAUUGGGUUUAAAGGGUGCGUAGGCGGCCUGUUAAGUCAGGGGUGAAAGACGGUAGCUCAACUAUCGCAGUGCCCUUGAUACUGAUGGGCUUGAAUUGACUAGAGGUAGGCGGAAUGUGACAAGUAGCGGUGAAAUGCAUAGAUAUGUCACAGAACACCGAUUGCGAAGGCAGCUUACUAUGGUCUUAUUGACGCUGAGGCACGAAAGCGUGGGGAUCAAACAGG
RNAcentral lists this ribosomal RNA (252 nucleotides) under uncultured bacterium. RNAcentral describes it as "partial 16S ribosomal RNA". It matches the Rfam family "Bacterial small subunit ribosomal RNA", at positions 524 to 776 of the family's 1533-position model. The record is from RNAcentral.